UAGAGUUUGAUCCUGGCUCAGAGUGAACGCUGGCGGCGUGCCUAAUACAUGCAAGUCGAACGAUGAAGCUCUAGCUUGCUAGAGUGGAUUAGUGGCGCACGGGUGAGUAAUGCAUAGAUAACAUGCCCUUUAGUCUAGGAUAGCCAUUGGAAACGAUGAUUAAUACUGGAUACUCCUUACGAGGGAAAGUUUUUCGCUAAAGGAUUGGUCUAUGUCCUAUCAGCUUGUUGGUGAGGUAAUGGCUCACCAAGGCUAUGACGGGUAUCCGGCCUGAGAGGGUGAACGGACACACUGGAACUGAGACACGGUCCAGACUCCUACGGGAGGCAGCAGUAGGGAAUAUUGCUCAAUGGGGGAAACCCUGAAGCAGCAACGCCGCGUGGAGGAUGAAGGUUUUCGGAUUGUAAACUCCUUUUGUUAGAGAAGAUAAUGACGGUAUCUAACGAAUAAGCACCGGCUAACUCCGUGCCAGCAGCCGCGGUAAUACGGAGGGUGCAAGCGUUACUCGGAAUCACUGGGCGUAAAGAGCGCGUAGGCGGGAUAGCAAGUCAGAUGUGAAAUCCUAUGGCUUAACCAUAGAACUGCAUUUGAAACUGUUAUUCUAGAGUAUGGGAGAGGUAGGUGGAAUUCUUGGUGUAGGGGUAAAAUCCGUAGAGAUCAAGAGGAAUACUCAUUGCGAAGGCGACCUGCUAGAACAUAACUGACGCUGAUGCGCGAAAGCGUGGGGAGCAAACAGGAUUAGAUACCCUGGUAGUCCACGCCCUAAACGAUGAAUGCUAGUUGUUGUGGAGCUUGUCUCUGCAGUAAUGCAGCUAACGCAUUAAGCAUUCCGCCUGGGGAGUACGGUCGCAAGAUUAAAACUCAAAGGAAUAGACGGGGACCCGCACAAGCGGUGGAGCAUGUGGUUUAAUUCGAAGAUACACGAAGAACCUUACCUAGGCUUGACAUUGAUAGAAUCCGCUAGAGAUAGUGGAGUGCUAGCUUGCUAGAACUUGAAAACAGGUGCUGCACGGCUGUCGUCAGCUCGUGUCGUGAGAUGUUGGGUUAAGUCCCGCAACGAGCGCAACCCUCGUCCUUAGUUGCUAACUAUUCGGUAGAGCACUCUAAGGAGACUGCCUUCGCAAGGAGGAGGAAGGUGAGGAUGACGUCAAGUCAUCAUGGCCCUUACGCCUAGGGCUACACACGUGCUACAAUGGGAAGCACAAAGAGAUGCAAUAUUGUGAAAUGGAGCAAAUCUAUAAAACUUCUCUCAGUUCGGAUUGUAGUCUGCAACUCGACUACAUGAAGCUGGAAUCGCUAGUAAUCGUAAAUCAGCUAUGUUACGGUGAAUACGUUCCCGGGUCUUGUACUCACCGCCCGUCACACCAUGGGAGUUGUAUUCGCCUUAAGUCGGAAUGCCAAACUGGCUACCGCCCACGGCGGAUGCAGCGACUGGGGUGAAGUCGUAACAAGGUAGCCGUA
RNAcentral lists this ribosomal RNA (1461 nucleotides) under uncultured bacterium. Its description in RNAcentral is "16S ribosomal RNA". It matches the Rfam family "Bacterial small subunit ribosomal RNA". The record is from RNAcentral.